UUGCUGUUGAAUCCUCGGGGGCCAC
Molecule: non-coding RNA, 25 nt
Filed under: Cricetulus griseus (Chinese hamster)
Lineage: Eukaryota; Metazoa; Chordata; Mammalia; Rodentia; Cricetidae
Source: RNAcentral